This 463-nucleotide ribosomal RNA is filed under the name uncultured bacterium. RNAcentral's name for it is "bacterial SSU rRNA". It matches the Rfam family "Bacterial small subunit ribosomal RNA", at positions 200 to 644 of the family's 1533-position model. The record is from RNAcentral.
GGAGAAGCAGGGGAUCGCAAGACCUUGCGCUUUUAGAGCGGCCGAUGCCUGAUUAGCUUGUUGGUGAGGUAAAAGCUCACCAAGGCUUCGAUCAGUAGCUGGUCUGAGAGGACGACCAGCCACACUGGGACUGAGACACGGCCCAGACUCCUACGGGAGGCAGCAGUGGGGAAUUUUGGACAAUGGGGGCAACCCUGAUCCAGCCAUGCCGCGUGAGUGAAGAAGGCCUUCGGGUUGUAAAGCUCUUUCAGCCGGAACGAAACGGUUACGGUUAAUACCCGUGACUACUGACGGUACCGGAAGAAGAAGCACCGGCUAACUACGUGCCAGCAGCCGCGGUAAUACGUAGGGUGCGAGCGUUAAUCGGAAUUACUGGGCGUAAAGCGUGCGCAGGUGGUUUUGUAAGUCAGAUGUGAAAUCCCCGGGCUUAACCUGGGAACUGCGUUUGAAACUACAAAGCUAG